ACAGCUUUGGACAAAAGUGUAUAGCCAGAGCAUUCGUAAUUCCUCAUGCACAAGAGCUGACUGUGUUUCUGGGAAGGCAUUUUACUCCUUACUUUCUUAUUUCCUAGAGUUUUCUAGUGCUGCUUUCAGGUGUUUGCUACUUAUUAGAAUUUCACCUACCCCAGGGCACUGUGCUUGAGAAAAUUCUGCAACCCGUCAGCUGGUGUAGGUCUCAGAAAGAGUAAAGACAGCUCU
This 234-nucleotide long non-coding RNA is filed under the name Pogona vitticeps (central bearded dragon). Its description in RNAcentral is "SOX2 overlapping transcript exon 1 (ENSPVIG00000014817.1)". It matches the Rfam family "SOX2 overlapping transcript exon 1". Rfam says of the family: SOX2 overlapping transcript (SOX2OT) is a long non-coding RNA, containing at least 5 exons. The SOX2 gene, an important regulator of neurogenesis, lies within one of the introns of SOX2OT. The record is from RNAcentral. Lineage: Eukaryota; Metazoa; Chordata; Lepidosauria; Squamata; Agamidae.